RNAcentral lists this ribosomal RNA (485 nucleotides) under uncultured bacterium. RNAcentral's name for it is "bacterial SSU rRNA". It matches the Rfam family "Bacterial small subunit ribosomal RNA", at positions 28 to 507 of the family's 1533-position model. The record is from RNAcentral.
GAUGAACGCUAGCGGCAGGCCUAAUACAUGCAAGUCGAGGGGCAUCGCGGUGCAGCAAUGAACUGGCGGCGACCGACGUACGGGUGCGUAACGCGUAUGCAACCUGCCCCGCACCGGGGGAUAGCCCGCCGAAAGGCGGAUUAAUACCCCAUGGUCCCGGGGGCCCGCAUGGGCAUCCGGGUAAAGCCUUGGCGGUGCGGGAUGGGCAUGCGUGCCAUUAGCUGGCUGGUGGGGUAACGGCCCACCAGGGCAACGAUGGCUAGGGGGUCUGAGAGGAUGGUCCCCCACACUGGUACUGAGACACGGACCAGACUCCUACGGGAGGCAGCAGUGAGGAAUAUUGGUCAAUGGGCGGAAGCCUGAACCAGCCAUGCCGCGUGCGGGAUGAAGGCCCUACGGGUUGUAAACCGCUUUUCCCCGGGAAGAAUAACCCCGAUGAGUCGGGUGAUGCCGGUACCGGGGAAUAAGGAUCGGCUAACUCCGUG